This 750-nucleotide ribosomal RNA is filed under the name Toensbergia geminipara. Its description in RNAcentral is "SSU rRNA". It matches the Rfam family "Eukaryotic small subunit ribosomal RNA", at positions 106 to 865 of the family's 1831-position model. The record is from RNAcentral. Lineage: Eukaryota; Fungi; Ascomycota; Lecanoromycetes; Rhizocarpales; Sporastatiaceae.
UCAGUUAUCGUUUAUUUGAUAGUACCUUACUACUUGGAUAACCGUGGUAAUUCUAGAGCUAAUACAUGCUAAAAACCCCGACUCCGGGAGGGGUGUAUUUAUUAGAUAAAAAGCCAAUGCCCUCCGGGGCUCCCUGGUGAUUCAUAAUAACUCAACGAAUCGCAUGGCCUUGCGCCGGCGAUGGUUCAUUCAAAUUUCUGCCCUAUCAACUUUCGAUGGUAGGAUAGUGGCCUACCAUGGUAUCUACGGGUAACGGGGAAUUAGGGUUCUAUUCCGGAGAGGGAGCCUGAGAAACGGCUACCACAUCCAAGGAAGGCAGCAGGCGCGCAAAUUACCCAAUCCCGACGCGGGGAGGUAGUGACAAUAAAUACUGAUACAGGGCUCUUUCGGGUCUUGUAAUUGGAAUGAGUACAAUUUAAAUCCCUUAACGAGGAACAAUUGGAGGGCAAGUCUGGUGCCAGCAGCCGCGGUAAUUCCAGCUCCAAUAGCGUAUAUUAAAGUUGUUGCAGUUAAAAAGCUCGUAGUUGAAACUUGGGCCUGGCUGGCCGGUCCGCCUCACCGCGUGCACUGGUCCGGCCGGGCCUUUCCUUCUGGGGAGCCGCAUGCCCUUCAUUGGGUGUGCCGGGGAACCAGGACUUUUACUUUGAAAAAAUUAGAGUGUUCAAAGCAGGCCUAUGCUCGGAUACAUUAGCAUGGAAUAAUAGAAUAGGACGUGUGGUUCUAUUUUGUUGGUUUCUAGGACCGCCGUAU